Molecule: ribosomal RNA, 253 nt
Filed under: uncultured bacterium
Lineage: Bacteria
Description: partial 16S ribosomal RNA
Rfam family: Bacterial small subunit ribosomal RNA
Source: RNAcentral
UACGGAGGGGGUUAGCGUUGUCCGGAAUUAUUGGGCGUAAAGAGCUCGUAGGCGGUUUGUCGCGUCUGCUGUGAAAACCCGAGGCUCAACCUCGGGCCUGCAGUGGGUACGGGCAGACUAGAGUGCGGUAGGGGAGAUUGGAAUUCCUGGUGUAGCGGUGGAAUGCGCAGAUAUCAGGAGGAACACCAAUGGCGAAGGCAGAUCUCUGGGCCGUAACUGACGCUGAGGAGCGAAAGCAUGGGGAGCGAACAGG